GUGCUUGCUUUGGUAGCACAUAUGCUAAAAUUGGAAAGAUACAGAGAAGGUUAGCAUGACCCCUGUGCAAGAUGACAUGCAAAUUAGUGAAGUGUUCCACAUUUUA
RNAcentral lists this small nuclear RNA (106 nucleotides) under Aotus nancymaae (Ma's night monkey). The record is from RNAcentral. Lineage: Eukaryota; Metazoa; Chordata; Mammalia; Primates; Aotidae.